UCGAGCGCGGGAAGCAAGCAGAACCCCUUCGGGGGUGACGCAUGUGGAACGAGCGGCGGACGGGUGAGUAACACGUGGGCAACCUGCCUGUAAGACUGGGAUAACUCCGGGAAACCGGGGCUAAUACCGGAUAAUACGUUUUCUUGCAUAAGGAGACGUUAAAAGGCGGCGCAAGCUGUCACUUACAGAUGGGCCCGCGGCGCAUUAGCUAGUUGGUGGGGUAAAAGCCUACCAAGGCGACGAUGCGUAGCCGACCUGAGAGGGUGAUCGGCCACACUGGGACUGAGACACGGCCCAGACUCCUACGGGAGGCAGCAGUAGNGGAAUCUUCCGCAAUGGACGAAAGUCUGACGGAGCAACGCCGCUUGAGUGAAGAAGGUUUUCGGAUCGUAAAACUCUGUUGUUAGGGAAGAACAAGUGCCGUUCAAAUAGGGCGGCACCUUGACGGUACCUAACCAGAAAGCCCCGGCUAACUACGUGCCAGCAGCCGCGGUAAUACGUAGGGGGCAAGCGUUGUCCGGAAUUAUUGGGCGUAAAGCGCGCGCAGGCGGUCUUUUAAGUCUGAUGUGAAAGCCCACGGCUUAACCGUGGAGGGCCAUUGGAAACUGGAGGACUUGAGUACAGAAGAGGAGAGUGGAAUUCCACGUGUAGCGGUGAAAUGCGUAGAGAUGUGGAGGAACACCAGUGGCGAAGGCGACUCUCUGGUCUGUAACUGACGCUGAGGUGCGAAAGCGUGGGUAGCGAACAGGAUUAGAUACCCUGGUAGUCCACGCCGUAAACGAUGAGUGCUAGGUGUUAGGGGGUUUCCGCCCCUUAGUGCUGCAGUUAACGCAUUAAGCACUCCGCCUGGGGAGUACGGCCGCAAGGCUGAAACUCAAAAGAAUUGACGGGGACCCGCACAAGCGGUGGAGCAUGUGGUUUAAUUCGAAGCAACGCGAAGAACCUUACCAGGUCUUGACAUCCUCUGACGGCCCUAGAGAUAGGGAGUUCCCUUCGGGGACAGAGUGACAGGUGGUGCAUGGUUGUCGUCAGCUCGUGUCGUGAGAUGUUGGGUUAAGUCCCGCAACGAGCGCAACCCUUGAUCUUAGUUGCCAGCAUUCAGUUGGGCACUCUAAGGUGACUGCCGGUGACAAACCGGAGGAAGGUGGGGAUGACGUCAAAUCAUCAUGCCCCUUAUGACCUGGGCUACACACGUGCUACAAUGGAUGGAACAAAGGGCAGCGAAGCCGUGAGGCCAAGCAAAUCCCACAAAACCAUUCUCAGUUCGGAUUGCAGGCUGCAACUCGCCUGCAUGAAGCCGGAAUCGCUAGUAAUCGCGGAUCAGCAUGCCGCGGUGAAUACGUUCCCGGGUCUUGUACACACNNNCCGUCACACCACGAGAGUUGUAACACCCGAAGUCGGUGAGGUAACCGUAAGGAGCCAGCCG
This 1426-nucleotide ribosomal RNA is filed under the name Virgibacillus sp. RNAcentral's name for it is "bacterial SSU rRNA". It matches the Rfam family "Bacterial small subunit ribosomal RNA". The record is from RNAcentral. Lineage: Bacteria; Bacillati; Bacillota; Bacilli; Caryophanales; Bacillaceae.